RNAcentral lists this ribosomal RNA (449 nucleotides) under uncultured bacterium. RNAcentral's name for it is "bacterial SSU rRNA". It matches the Rfam family "Bacterial small subunit ribosomal RNA", at positions 354 to 796 of the family's 1533-position model. The record is from RNAcentral.
GUCGAGAAUCUUCCGCAAUGGGCGAAAGCCUGACGGAGCGACGCCGCGUGGAGGACGAAGGCCUUCGGGUUGUAAACUCCUGUCACGGGUUAUGAAUGUCAUGUCGUGAACAGCGGCAUGGUUGACGUAAGCCCGAGAGGAAGCACUGGCUAACUCUGUGCCAGCAGCCGCGGUAAUACAGAGAGUGCGAACGUUGUUCGGAAUUACUGGGCUUAAAGCGCACGUAGGCGGCACCGCAAGUGUGGGGUGAAAUCCCACGGCUUACCCGUGGAACUGCCUGGCAGACUGCGGUGCUAGAGGAUGGUAGGGGAGAGCGGAACUCCUGGUGGAGCGGUGAAAUGCGUAGAUAUCAGGAGGAACACCGGUGGCGAAGGCGGCUCUCUGGUCCAUUUCUGACGCUGAGGUGCGAAAGCUAGGGGAGCAAACGGGAUUAGAUACCCGGGUAGUCC